RNAcentral lists this ribosomal RNA (2785 nucleotides) under Pseudomonas putida W15Oct28. RNAcentral describes it as "bacterial LSU rRNA". It matches the Rfam family "Bacterial large subunit ribosomal RNA". Lineage: Bacteria; Pseudomonadati; Pseudomonadota; Gammaproteobacteria; Pseudomonadales; Pseudomonadaceae. The record is from RNAcentral.
UCAAGUGAAGAAGCGCAUACGGUGGAUGCCUUGGCAGUCAGAGGCGAUGAAAGACGUGGUAGCCUGCGAUAAGCUUUGGGGAGUCGGCAAACAGACUGUGAUCCAGAGAUCUCUGAAUGGGGGAACCCAGCCAGCAUAAGCUGGUUAUCUUGUACUGAAUACAUAGGUGCAAGAGGCGAACCAGGGGAACUGAAACAUCUAAGUACCCUGAGGAAAAGAAAUCAACCGAGAUUCCCUUAGUAGUGGCGAGCGAACGGGGACCAGCCCUUAAGUUGGUUUGAGAUUAGUGGAACGCUCUGGAAAGUGCGGCCAUAGUGGGUGAUAGCCCCGUACACGAAAAUCUCUUAUCAAUGAAAUCGAGUAGGACGGAGCACGAGAAACUUUGUCUGAAUAUGGGGGGACCAUCCUCCAAGGCUAAAUACUACUGACUGACCGAUAGUGAACUAGUACCGUGAGGGAAAGGCGAAAAGAACCCCGGAGAGGGGAGUGAAAUAGAUCCUGAAACCGUAUGCGUACAAGCAGUGGGAGCCUACUUUGUUAGGUGACUGCGUACCUUUUGUAUAAUGGGUCAGCGACUUAUAUUCAGUGGCGAGCUUAACCGAAUAGGGGAGGCGUAGCGAAAGCGAGUCUUAAUAGGGCGUUUAGUCGCUGGGUAUAGACCCGAAACCGGGCGAUCUAUCCAUGGGCAGGUUGAAGGUUAGGUAACACUGACUGGAGGACCGAACCGACUACCGUUGAAAAGUUAGCGGAUGACCUGUGGAUCGGAGUGAAAGGCUAAUCAAGCUCGGAGAUAGCUGGUUCUCCUCGAAAGCUAUUUAGGUAGCGCCUCAUGUAUCACUGUAGGGGGUAGAGCACUGUUUCGGCUAGGGGGUCAUCCCGACUUACCAAACCGAUGCAAACUCCGAAUACCUACAAGUGCCGAGCAUGGGAGACACACGGCGGGUGCUAACGUCCGUCGUGAAAAGGGAAACAACCCAGACCGUCAGCUAAGGUCCCAAAGUCAUGGUUAAGUGGGAAACGAUGUGGGAAGGCUUAGACAGCUAGGAGGUUGGCUUAGAAGCAGCCACCCUUUAAAGAAAGCGUAAUAGCUCACUAGUCGAGUCGGCCUGCGCGGAAGAUGUAACGGGGCUCAAACCAUGCACCGAAGCUACGGGUAUCACGAGUGAAAAACUCGCACGCCGAAAGACCAAGGUUUCCUGCGCAACGUUAAUCGACGCAGGGUUAGUCGGUCCCUAAGGCGAGGCUGAAAAGCGUAGUCGAUGGAAAACAGGUUAAUAUUCCUGUACUUCCAGUUAUUGCGAUGGAGGGACGGAGAAGGUUAGGCCAGCCUGGCGUUGGUUGUCCAGGUUUAAGGUGGUAGGCUGGAAUCUUAGGCAAAUCCGGGAUUCUAAGGCCGAGAGCUGAUGACGAGUUGCCAUUAGGCGACGAAGUGGUUGAUACCAUGCUUCCAAGAAAAGCUCCUAAGCUUCAGAUAACUGGGAACCGUACCCCAAACCGACACAGGUGGUUAGGUAGAGAAUACCAAGGCGCUUGAGAGAACUCGGGUGAAGGAACUAGGCAAAAUGGCACCGUAACUUCGGGAGAAGGUGCGCCGGCGAGGGUCAAGGACUUGCUCCGUAAGCCCAUGCCGGUCGAAGAUACCAGGCCGCUGCGACUGUUUAUUAAAAACACAGCACUCUGCAAACACGAAAGUGGACGUAUAGGGUGUGACGCCUGCCCGGUGCCGGAAGGUUAAUUGAUGGGGUUAGCGCAAGCGAAGCUCUUGAUCGAAGCCCCGGUAAACGGCGGCCGUAACUAUAACGGUCCUAAGGUAGCGAAAUUCCUUGUCGGGUAAGUUCCGACCUGCACGAAUGGCGUAACGAUGGCGGCGCUGUCUCCACCCGAGACUCAGUGAAAUUGAAAUCGCUGUGAAGAUGCAGUGUAUCCGCGGCUAGACGGAAAGACCCCGUGAACCUUUACUAUAGCUUUGCACUGGACUUUGAAUUUGCUUGUGUAGGAUAGGUGGGAGGCUUUGAAGUGGGGACGCCAGUUCUCAUGGAGCCAUCCUUGAAAUACCACCCUGGCAACUUUGAGGUUCUAACUCAGGUCCGUUAUCCGGAUCGAGGACAGUGUAUGGUGGGUAGUUUGACUGGGGCGGUCUCCUCCCAAAGAGUAACGGAGGAGUACGAAGGUGCGCUCAGACCGGUCGGAAAUCGGUCGUAGAGUAUAAAGGCAAAAGCGCGCUUGACUGCGAGACACACACGUCGAGCAGGUACGAAAGUAGGUCUUAGUGAUCCGGUGGUUCUGUAUGGAAGGGCCAUCGCUCAACGGAUAAAAGGUACUCCGGGGAUAACAGGCUGAUACCGCCCAAGAGUUCAUAUCGACGGCGGUGUUUGGCACCUCGAUGUCGGCUCAUCACAUCCUGGGGCUGAAGCCGGUCCCAAGGGUAUGGCUGUUCGCCAUUUAAAGUGGUACGCGAGCUGGGUUUAGAACGUCGUGAGACAGUUCGGUCCCUAUCUGCCGUGGACGUUUGAGAUUUGAGAGGGGCUGCUCCUAGUACGAGAGGACCGGAGUGGACGAACCUCUGGUGUUCCGGUUGUCACGCCAGUGGCAUUGCCGGGUAGCUAUGUUCGGAAGAGAUAACCGCUGAAAGCAUCUAAGCGGGAAACUUGCCUCAAGAUGAGAUCUCACUGGGAUCUUGAAUCCCCUAAAGGGCCGUCGAAGACUACGACGUUGAUAGGUUGGGUGUGUAAGCGCUGUGAGGCGUUGAGCUAACCAAUACUAAUUGCCCGUGAGGCUUGACCAU